UUAUAGACUUCUUUUGACAUAAUAUUAAUUUCAGAUCUAUGGUCAAUGAGAGCAAUUACUAGUUCUAUCAAGUCUUCCAUUUUUACUAAAGUCUUUGUGGUGGCUCUUGCCCAAUGUCCCUUGAUAUAGUAUCCAAGGCCCUUGUCAUCAUCUUUAUAUUCAUCCAAAUCAAAUUAUCCCUUUUUAUAUUCAAUUCAUGUUCCUCUUCUUCAGUCAAGAUUGUAUCUUAAGCAUUAGAUAUAGCAAAUUCUCCUAUUAAUUGCAUCUUUCGCUUAAUAGUAUCUAUGAUGACUUCAUGAAAUUCUC
RNAcentral lists this long non-coding RNA (306 nucleotides) under Physcomitrium patens. Its description in RNAcentral is "long non-coding RNA (PPAT_LNC005598)". The record is from RNAcentral. Lineage: Eukaryota; Viridiplantae; Streptophyta; Bryopsida; Funariales; Funariaceae.